UACGUAGGAGACGAGCGUUGUCCGGAAUUACUGGGCGUAAAGCGCGUGUAGGCGGAUGAGCAAGUCUGCUGUGAAAGCUCCUGGCUUAACCGGGAGUGGUCGGUGGAAACUGCUCGUCUGGAGGACGGUAGAGGUAGGUAGAAUUCCCGGUGUAGUGGUGAAAUGCGUAGAGAUCGGGAGGAAUACCUGUGGCGAAGGCGGCCUACUGGGCCGGACCUGACGCUGAGACGCGAAGGCGUGGGGAGC
Molecule: ribosomal RNA, 246 nt
Filed under: uncultured bacterium
Lineage: Bacteria
Description: partial 16S ribosomal RNA
Rfam family: Bacterial small subunit ribosomal RNA
Source: RNAcentral